AAUGAACGCUGGCGGCAUGCCUAACACAUGCAAGUCGAACGACACCACCGGGUCUAGUUGCGCAUGCGUGUGUCACGCGUCGGACGCUUCCCUUAUGUAUCGAAUACCUCUCCUACUGGGGUGCUAACGUCGGAACAUGUCUUCUAACAAAAGAUAGAUCGCCCUUGUUUGGGCACGCGUUCGAUUAGCUUUUUGGUAUGGUAAUAGCCUAUCACGGCGAAGCUCCUUAGCUGGUUAGAGAGGAUGCGCAGCCACACUGAGACUGAGACACGGCCCAGAAUCCUACGGGAGGGAGCAGUGGGGAAUAGUGGAAAAUGGGCGAAAGCCUGAUCGAGCAAGGCCGGGUGAGUGAUGAAGGCCGUAGAGUUGUAAAGCUCUUUUACCCGGGAUGAUAAUGACAGUACCGGGAGAAUAAGCACCGGCUAACUCCGUG
Molecule: ribosomal RNA, 433 nt
Filed under: uncultured bacterium
Lineage: Bacteria
Description: partial 16S ribosomal RNA
Rfam family: Bacterial small subunit ribosomal RNA
Source: RNAcentral